AGUGAACGCUGGCGGUAGGCCUAGCACAUGCAAGUCGAACGGCAGCACAGUAAGAGCUUGCUCUUACGGGUGGCGAGUAGCGGACGGGUGAGGAAUACAUCGGAAUCUACUUUUUCGUGGGGGAUAACGUAGGGAAACUUACGCUAAUACCGCAUACGACCUACGGGUGAAAGCAGGGGAUCUUCGGACCUUGCGCGAUUGAAUGAGCCGAUGUCGGAUUAGCUAGUUGGCGGGGUAAAGGCCCACCAAGGCGACGAUCCGUAGCUGGUCUGAGAGGAUGAUCAGCCACACUGGAACUGAGACACGGUCCAGACUCCUACGGGAGGCAGCAGUGGGGAAUAUUGGACAAUGGGCGCAAGCCUGAUCCAGCCAUACCGCGUGGGUGAAGAAGGCCUUCGGGUUGUAAAGCCCUUUUGUUGGGAAAGAAAAGCAGCAGGUUAAUACCCCGCUGUUCUGACGGUACCCAAAGAAUAAGCACCGGCUAACUUCGUG
This 492-nucleotide ribosomal RNA is filed under the name uncultured bacterium. RNAcentral's name for it is "partial 16S ribosomal RNA". It matches the Rfam family "Bacterial small subunit ribosomal RNA", at positions 29 to 507 of the family's 1533-position model. The record is from RNAcentral.